RNAcentral lists this ribosomal RNA (502 nucleotides) under uncultured bacterium. RNAcentral describes it as "bacterial SSU rRNA". It matches the Rfam family "Bacterial small subunit ribosomal RNA", at positions 36 to 524 of the family's 1533-position model. The record is from RNAcentral.
AUACCUGGCGGCAGGCUUACACAUGCAAGUCGAACGGUAGCAGGAGAAAGCUUGCUUUCUUGCUGACGAGUGGCGGACGGGUGAGUAAUGCUUGGGAAUCUGGCUUAUGGAGGGGGAUAACUACUGGAAACGGUAGCUAAUACCGCGUAACAUCUUCGGAUUAAAGGGUGGGAUCUUCGGACCACUUGCCAUAAGAUGAGCCCAAGUGGGAUUAGGUAGUUGGUGGGGUAAAGGCCUACCAAGCCGACGAUCUCUAGCUGGUCUGAGAGGAUGGCCAGCCACACUGGAACUGAGACACGGUCCAGACUCCUACGGGAGGCAGCAGUGGGGAAUAUUGCACAAUGGGGGGAACCCUGAUGCAGCCAUGCCGCGUGAAUGAAGAAGGCCUUCGGGUUGUAAAGUUCUUUCGGUGAUGAGGAAGGCAGAUAAGUUAAUAGCUUGUUUGAUUGACGUUAGUCACAGAAGAAGCACCGGCUAACUCCGUGCCAGCAGCCGCGGUAAU